UGAUUAUAACACCACAGAAUUAACCUCAGUCAUUUUAUUUACAGACGGUCAGAAUAUAAAGUGAAAUUCUGACCAGAAGCAGUGAAUUUAAUGGUCUCUGUUACUUUUCCACGAUAACUUGUUUUGGAGAAUACAACGUUCUGAGAGGCAGAAGUCUGCAGGUGACUGCUGCACUCAUCUCGGCAUCCAUUGUUCCUAUUUAUGGAGAAGGAAAGUCAGUUUGCUCUCUCGAGACUUUCUCUGUUAAUCCUGGCAGGACCCCAUUUGUUUACCUGAGAAAAUGGUUAAGAUCUCAUUGCUUUUCUCACCAGCCCACAGUGAGGAUUUCCUUUCACACAGAAAUGUCAUCAGCACCUGAUAAAAGUGGAACCGGGUCAGAAACAGUUUUCCCCUCACUGCAAAAUUAUUUCAUAUUUCAAAAGGAC
Molecule: long non-coding RNA, 425 nt
Filed under: Anas platyrhynchos (mallard)
Lineage: Eukaryota; Metazoa; Chordata; Aves; Anseriformes; Anatidae
Description: lncRNA (ENSAPLG00020009623.1)
Source: RNAcentral